CUAUCAUCAGUAUCUUUGAAAUGUUUUAUUUACUUAUCAUAGUAUGUAUAUUUAUAAAGUAACCUUUAAUAGUAAUUGUGGUUACAACAAGUGUCAUACUUAAUUAUGUUUUUGUUUAAUAGUUCAAAACUUAACCUAAGUUAAGUAAGAUUUUUACUGCAUUGCAUUCUCCUAAUCAGAAGCAACUUUAUCUUGGACGCACAUUGUACGUAAACGCCAGGAGAUAAUGAACGGCUGCUAGUUUUCGGCAGUCUGUGACAGAGAGCUUCGCAAUCCAGCCGGAACAACUCAGAUGUAUGUAUUGUUACGCCGGUAGGAUUAACGCCAUCUAUCGCCGAAUAGUCGAACGAAUAUCGAAACAUCUAGAAUACUCGAGAAUUACAACGCCAUCUAUUGUCAGAUAGCGGGAACUAUGAGUAGAGAAGUGUGGAAUACUGUCGAUGAUUCUAGCGAUGAGGUAUCGGCUAUAAAAGCGUUGUAGGGAUGGCGCGCAGUCAGUCAGUAAUCGAAGCGAAACAGCGAACGGAUCACCUGAAGCGAAGCGGAACAAGCGGAUUGAGAGUUUUAAAGUGUUUGUUGAGUGUUUAAGUG
This is a long non-coding RNA of Bombyx mori (domestic silkworm), 591 nucleotides long. RefSeq lists it as uncharacterized. Lineage: Eukaryota; Metazoa; Arthropoda; Insecta; Lepidoptera; Bombycidae. The transcript has 2 exons. The record is from RefSeq and is a predicted model, not a curated record.